Molecule: ribosomal RNA, 466 nt
Filed under: uncultured bacterium
Lineage: Bacteria
Description: partial 16S ribosomal RNA
Rfam family: Bacterial small subunit ribosomal RNA
Source: RNAcentral
GAUGAACGCUGGCGGCGUGCUUAACACAUGCAAGUCGAACGAUGAAGCCCAGCUUGCUGGGUGGAUUAGUGGCGAACGGGUGAGUAACACGUGAGUAACCUGCCCUUAACUCUGGGAUAAGCCUGGGAAACUGGGUCUAAUACCGGAUAGGAGCGUCCACCGCAUGGUGGGUGUUGGAAAGAUUUAUCGGUUUUGGAUGGACUCGCGGCCUAUCAGCUUGUUGGUGAGGUAAUGGCUCACCAAGGCGACGACGGGUAGCCGGCCUGAGAGGGUGACCGGCCACACUGGGACUGAGACACGGCCCAGAAUCCUACGGGAGGCAGCAGUGGGGAAUAUUGCACAAUGGGCGAAAGCCUGAUGCAGCGACGCCGCGUGAGGGAUGACGGCCUUCGGGUUGUAAACCUCUUUCAGUAGGGAAGAAGCGAAAGUGACGGUACCUGCAGAAGAAGCACCGGCUAACUACGUG